This is a long non-coding RNA of Daphnia magna, 581 nucleotides long. RefSeq lists it as uncharacterized. The record is from RefSeq and is a predicted model, not a curated record. NCBI's taxonomy places the organism in Eukaryota, Metazoa, Arthropoda, Branchiopoda, Diplostraca, Daphniidae. The transcript has 4 exons.
UGGCGAUAAUGGCUGGCUAUGGCAUUAUAUCUAGCAACGUUGCGUGGCUUAGGAACAGUUGAGUUUCGUCUGCGCUUGAAGGCAGUUUCAAGGCCGGAGAGUCAUUUUUUUUCUCCCGGGAAGGCCAUAUAAUUUCCGCAAACCGAGCUUCCGUGGUUAAUUUGGCCCGUGACUUCCUCUUCGUUGGACCUGUAUAAUUUAACAGGCUAUGAUUGUUGCUCUUUCCCCUGUGAGAACAGCCUACAGAUGGACCACUGGGUUUUCAAGAUUGCGUCCUGAAGGAUGGCCACCACAUUUAAUUUCAACUCUGAUGGCACUCUCCGGCAUUGGGCUUUCCAUGUUUAGUGCUGCACAGUUGUCCACUCUUCCAGCAUCACCACACAAACAAUAUUUCCCAAGAGGACCAUGGAAUUGAAAAUAGACCAAAUUAGACCUGUUAUUAAAUUCUGACAAUGAACAAUGACCUUUCUUGGUGCCAUGGUUUUUAUCAUUAAGUAUCAUACAAUGGCUGGCUUAUUUAUCAAUCUUGCACAAUGUUUCGUCAAGUGUUUAUAACCAACAAAUAAAAUUUUUAGUCUUCA